AAAGGGCCGCGGUAUUUUGACCGUGCGAAGGUAGCAUAAUCAAUAGUCUUUUAAUUGAAGGCUGGAAUGAACGGUUGGACGAAGGACAAACUGUUUCUUACUCAUUAUUUGAAUUUAACCUUUAAGUGAAAAGGCUUAAAUAGCACAGGAGGACGAUAAGACCCUAUAAAUCUUAACGUUAAUUUAAAAUCUUGAGGAUAGAUAGAUGGUUAUUUUUUUUAUUAGAUUUAAUUACGUUUUGUUGGGGCGACAUAAAUAGAAAAUAAUCUGUUUAAUAGUAUUACACAAAUAGGUGAAUAUAUUAAAUUAAGAUCCUUAUUAUAGAAUAUAAGAUAAAGUUACUUUAGGGAUAACAGCGUUAUUUUACUUGAGAGUUCCUAUCAAAAGUAAAGUUUGCGACCUCGAUGUUGAAUUAAAUAUUCCCUUAUGGUGCAGCAGCUAUAAAGGAGAGUCUGUUCGACUUUUNAAAUUUUACAUGAUUU
Molecule: ribosomal RNA, 482 nt
Filed under: Tetralobistes weddellii
Lineage: Eukaryota; Metazoa; Arthropoda; Malacostraca; Decapoda; Diogenidae
Description: partial 16S ribosomal RNA
Rfam family: Bacterial large subunit ribosomal RNA
Source: RNAcentral